GGGGUCGUAGCUCAGCUGGUCAGAGCGCCACGUUGACAUCGUGGAGGUCGAAGGUUCGAGCCCUUUCGACCCCACCA
This 77-nucleotide transfer RNA is filed under the name Candidatus Ventricola gallistercoris. Its description in RNAcentral is "tRNA-Val". It matches the Rfam family "tRNA". Rfam says of the family: Transfer RNA (tRNA) molecules are approximately 80 nucleotides in length. Their secondary structure includes four short double-helical elements and three loops (D, anti-codon, and T loops). Further hydrogen bonds mediate the characteristic L-shaped molecular structure. tRNAs have two regions of fundamental functional importance: the anti-codon, which is responsible for specific mRNA codon recognition, and the 3' end, to which the tRNAs corresponding amino acid is attached (by aminoacyl-tRNA synthetases). tRNAs cope with the degeneracy of the genetic code in two manners: having more than one tRNA (with a specific anti-codon) for a particular amino acid; and 'wobble' base-pairing, i.e. permitting non-standard base-pairing at the 3rd anti-codon position. Lineage: Bacteria; Bacillati; Bacillota; Clostridia; Eubacteriales. The record is from RNAcentral.